Molecule: small nucleolar RNA, 107 nt
Organism: Humulus lupulus (European hop)
Lineage: Eukaryota; Viridiplantae; Streptophyta; Magnoliopsida; Rosales; Cannabaceae
Source: RefSeq, a predicted model, not a curated record
AUCCCAUGAUGAGGGAAUUUUCGCAACAACUCCUUGAACCGUUCUCAUGCCUCAUACAAAGAUUCAUCAUUAAGUUGCUGAAAUGAAUUGAUCUCAUUACAGAGCUU